UGGGCGGAGCUGAUCAGCCAUGCCGCGUGCAGGAAGACUGCCCUAUGGGUUGUAAACUGCUUUUGUACGGGAAGAAACACUCCUACGUGUAGGAGCUUGACGGUACCGUAAGAAUAAGCAUCNGGCUAACUCCGUGCCAGCAGCCGCGGUAAUA
RNAcentral lists this ribosomal RNA (154 nucleotides) under Jejuia sp. Its description in RNAcentral is "partial 16S ribosomal RNA". It matches the Rfam family "Bacterial small subunit ribosomal RNA", at positions 372 to 525 of the family's 1533-position model. Lineage: Bacteria; Pseudomonadati; Bacteroidota; Flavobacteriia; Flavobacteriales; Flavobacteriaceae. The record is from RNAcentral.